UGUGGUUUGCUCCAGGCCUAGGUCACA
RNAcentral lists this non-coding RNA (27 nucleotides) under Rattus norvegicus (Norway rat). Lineage: Eukaryota; Metazoa; Chordata; Mammalia; Rodentia; Muridae. The record is from RNAcentral.